Echinostoma caproni is the source of this 45-nucleotide non-coding RNA. Lineage: Eukaryota; Metazoa; Platyhelminthes; Trematoda; Plagiorchiida; Echinostomatidae. The record is from Rfam.
GAACUGCUAACGAGUCCCAAACAGGACGAAACAGCUGUCCAGUGC